UGGCUGUGAUGACAAACAAAACUUCGUUUCUCGAUGCUGAGACUUGAUUUGUUUCAAGGACCAAAACUGUGCUGACCUUAAUUUGUGCGUGUCUGAGCCAC
This 101-nucleotide small nucleolar RNA is filed under the name Oryza punctata. RNAcentral describes it as "small nucleolar RNA snoR126". It matches the Rfam family "small nucleolar RNA snoR126". Lineage: Eukaryota; Viridiplantae; Streptophyta; Magnoliopsida; Poales; Poaceae. The record is from Rfam by way of RNAcentral.